UGGGGUGUAGCCAAGUGGUAAGGCACCGGUUUUUGGUAUCGGCAUCGUAGGUUCGAACCCUACCACCCCAGCCA
RNAcentral lists this transfer RNA (74 nucleotides) under Alphaproteobacteria bacterium. Its description in RNAcentral is "tRNA-Gln". It matches the Rfam family "tRNA". From Rfam's summary of the family: Transfer RNA (tRNA) molecules are approximately 80 nucleotides in length. The record is from RNAcentral. Lineage: Bacteria; Pseudomonadati; Pseudomonadota; Alphaproteobacteria.